GUUCCUGUAGAGCAAUGGACAGCGCGUUGAACUUCUAAUACAAAGGUCGUGGGUUUGAAUCCUACGUGGGAUU
Molecule: transfer RNA, 73 nt
Filed under: Trichonephila inaurata madagascariensis
Lineage: Eukaryota; Metazoa; Arthropoda; Arachnida; Araneae; Nephilidae
Rfam family: tRNA
About the family: Transfer RNA (tRNA) molecules are approximately 80 nucleotides in length. Their secondary structure includes four short double-helical elements and three loops (D, anti-codon, and T loops).
Source: Rfam by way of RNAcentral